This is a long non-coding RNA of Leopardus geoffroyi (Geoffroy's cat), 2324 nucleotides long. RefSeq lists it as uncharacterized. The record is from RefSeq and is a predicted model, not a curated record. Lineage: Eukaryota; Metazoa; Chordata; Mammalia; Carnivora; Felidae. The transcript has 2 exons.
UGUUCAUAAAUGUUUAACCAGCUUUUUGAUUAUUUCCUCAGGACAGAUUCCUGGAAGAGAAUGACUUGGUCAGAAUUCUUGGCAUUAUUUCAAAUCUGUGGUGGAAAAGAAGUGUUCAGAUAUGUGUCACAGAUUUAAAUAACAUAAAAACUCAGGAAAGCUGGGGAUCUGUGUGGGCUGCUGGAAGUAUGAGUCGGCCUUUGACACAAGGCUGAAGCCUAAUGAGAUGAUAUUUCUGUAAGGCUCUGGGCAUUUCUCUUCCCUAAGUCAGUUGACUUGGGCAGGGGGUUAGUGAGAGAAGGCUUCACGGAGCAGAGUCUUACAGGAGGAAAAGGAGUUUCGAAGGCCGACAGAGGACGUGAGGAGAGGAGGAGGAUCCACACUCAGCAUGGAGCCCAGUGUGGGGCUUGAACUCAUGACCCUGAGAUCAAGACCUGAGCCAAGACCAAGAGUCCAACGCUUAACCAACUGAGCCACCCCGGGGCUCCUAUUUCUUCUUACCCAGAGAACAUUCACCACUGAAGGGACACCCUUUAUGGUGGCAAUCAAGCAAGGGUCUGGAGAACCUCCAAAGAAACCCAUUUCUGGACUGUUAAUGAUGGGAGGUCCUAAACUGACAGGUGAAGUCUAACCCUGGCAUCAUUACUGUUAUAAGCCAUGGACUGUCCAAACAAUCUAGAAAGCAUCUGAAAGUUUCUAUAGUAACUUGUAUUUAUUUUUUUAAAAGUGUUGAAAAGUUCCCAGUAGCAUGGCUGGUUGCCUGGGCUACAAUGUUGUGUUGACAGCUCCGGUCCUUUUCCUGGCGGCUGAAGACCUAGGACAGUGACCAAUGAGAGGGCAGCAUUUUUUCCUGAACUUUUCAUUAGGCUGGUGAUUCAUUUUGAGACCCACAUUUUAUGAAGGCUGUGAAUUCAAUGCAAUGUAGCUGUUGAGGUGUCUACAUUCAAAUUGGAUUCCAUUAAGUUUAUGACGUGAUUAAAUGUCUGAAUCAUAAGGAGUCGGGGUUGAAUUUAUGUGUCUUCUGAAAGCACUUUCGAAGACUGGCAGCUUCGAUGAGUGUAAUAUGAUGCAUGGGAUUGAGAGAACAAACCUAAAGAGACACCAACUCAAAAAUAACAAGGAUCUGAGAAUUGAGGUGGGUGUCACUCUUGGACAUACAGAGUGGAACUGUUAUUCAGCGUGCAUAUUUUUUUUUUCCUUCAGAAUAUUUAAUUUGGAGCAUUAGAAGGGACUUGAAAGCAUUAAUUGGGGUGCUUGUUAAAAAUGCCAAUUUCUAGGUCCUGCCUUCUGAUUUGGAAGGGGUGGAGUUGGGUACAGGAAUUUGAGAACUCACUAGGGAAAACACUGAUUUAAUCAUCUUUCAUUUGGUCAACUGAUGUGCCUCUUCCAUGACCUAGCUCACAGUUAGUGGUAAGAGCACAAGACUCAGAACAAGAUCUCUUCAAGGUAUCCUCAGAGAUCUUUCAUCACCCACUUAGUUCUUGCUCAUCCACAUUGAUAUUUAUGACGUGGAAAUGAUCAGGUGUGACAGCUAUGUGUGCCGUGUUCAAAAAGUAGAGAACAACAUGAGAUGGCAGAGAGAGUGAGUGAACGGCAUACUGCAUGUUACCAAAAAGGAGUUCUAAUAUCUCAACAAAAUUUUUGAAGUACAUCUUAACACGUCAGGGUUAAAUGGGAGUUGCACAGUGCUAUUUGAGUCACUUUUAGACAAUUUCUGGCAUCAUAGCACACAAAAUACUUUCAUUUCUGCAUUUCCCUUUAUUGAUUUCUUUGACUUUAAAUACAUUAAAUAUAUAGCCCUUGGAAAUUCUAGAAUUGAUGAAGUUACACACUUUUUCAUUAUUCUGACGAUUUGUAUUUAUUCUUUAAUUCUUUCAUUUGUGAAUCUGUGUUCAGAUCCUUUGAAAUUUUUCUAUUGAAUUGUUAGCAUUCUUUGUAUUGAUUUUAAAGAGCUGUUUAUAUAUUAAAGUUAUUAAUUCCAUAUCUGUCAUACAUCUUGCUGAAAGCGUUUUUCUCUUUUAUUUUUUUUCUUUUUCUUUUUCUUUUAACUUAUGGUGAAUUUUCUUUCACAUGGAGCACUUCAAAAUUUUUCUGUAGUUAAAAUUAUCCUUUUUGCCUUUCUUUGUGAUGUUGUUUCAUUGCUUUUAUUUGUUAAAGCUUUUCCCAUCACAAGAUUAGGAAAAGAAUCAUUUACUCUUUCUUCUAGCUGUUCUGUAGUUUUAACAUUUGCAUUUGCAUUGAAUGCUUUAACCUAUUGAUAUGCUUGGUAAAAUGUAACAAAUAGAACCUGGGUAUGUAACAAAUAAACAUUUUUUUUCUCAGUU